CGUUCGUACAUGGACCUUAGUUUGCAGUUUCUAUCAGUUGUCAGAAAAAAUUUUUAUUAUAAUUAAUUUUAACUUUAAAAUAUUGCUUCCAAUAUUAUUGAAAACCGUGAGUUAUUGUGCUGUUUGGCUUAUUGUUCUGGAAUUCUAUACUACACUAGGUGAUGAACUACUGGAAUUGGAACCCAUCAAGUUGGAUGAAGAGUUGUACGGGUAGUUUUUAGUUUUACUUUGGAAAAUAAGACUAAAUAAAACGGAAAAUCUCUUUAGUGUCAUCCCACCAUGCAGCGCUCAAGAUUGAUUAUGAUAAUCAUAUUCACGGUUAUUUCUUGGGGCGGAGCCAUAGCUAUGGGCUCUUACCUCGCAUACCACACUCGCACACAUUACUGGACAGUAACUCUAACGUUCUGGGCUGUCGUCCUGGCAGCCGCUCCAUUCAUUUUAAUGUUGAUGAACAUGAAGCUCGUAAAUCAAAUCCAAGCUAAAAUAAAAAGAGCUUUCCAUGAGCGUUGGAUGCGAUCACAAAAGCUUAAACGAAUGCCUAAUGAGCAGCAGCCGACAUCGGAUGGAACGCAAAACGGGAUCCAAGGAAGAGAUCCCACGUUCAGCGAAGCGUCCACAACUUCUUUGCUUGGAGUUCCAUCACCAUCUUACGGUUCCAUCAUGCAAGGGCAACCCGCUCUUCACCAACCAAUUGGCUCAACGCCUGCGAGAACUACUGGAGAGCAUUCAACUUAUUUACUUUACGAGGACAGAACUCCAGUAGUGGCGUCUCAGGUUAAUGCUAAAUCUGGACAUCGUAAAUUUUCUUCAAACUCCCCUUUGGUUCCCAGUUUCCAGAAUAGGCAGCGACCUGGAGCGCUCGUUUCUACUAGACUUACAAGCUCAUCGUCAGUGAGCCUACCUGUAUCUGUUCAUAAAAAUGAGGCAAAGAAUACAAAGUGCACAUUGAACUCAUUCAGCCCGACUCGCGCCCGGAAAAAUUCACGUAUUUUAGCUUCUAUUCCUGAAGUAUCGUAUGAAGGUGAAAAUGAGUGGCAAGAUCGAUUUAAAGAAACAGAGGAGUUGGCUGAAAGUACCUCUCAUCAAGUAGCAUUCAACGACAACAGUUGAAGCAGCGAUACGUCGGGAACAAAACUGACUUAUAUAUUGCUCGAGAGAGAGGCAAAGACUGCUGGUUUAGAGUAGUUUAUCCAGUACACGAAAAAACUUGCUGGUACGUUAUGAUAUUAGAUUGCUUGAACUUAUUCAGCGGUCAUUAAUAACAGCACCUAGCUUCGUUAAUGGCAGCAGCUUUACAUACGAAUGCACCUUGCUUUGUGGUGCUUAUUAUAAAGGCGUUUCACUUUCGAAGCUGAAAUCUUUUUCAAUGAAAGUCUAUUAAGUGCACAAUUUUAGAGUAAAUAAAUGUUUUGAGAAUUUUUAUGGAGUUGUUCAAAAUCUUAAGAGAUAUAAAUCGAUUAAAUGCUUUAAAAACUCUAACUUUCGAGUAAUCAUUUUCGUCGAUAGCUAUGCCUCCUUUUAGCUUUCGUAUCACGUUGUUUUAAUGCUUAACAUGAAGUGCAUUUGUUGGUAACUUAACACUGUUGACGGAUUUUCCAAAUGAUAGUUCUGCGUAUUUAUCUGCCCCUAUUUAUGCACGACGGUUGUAUACCUAAAAAGCGACCACAUUAGUCAAGCGUUAGAAUUAAUUUGAAUUGAGCUGAACGAUUGUUGAUUUUUCAUG
Hyalella azteca is the source of this 1723-nucleotide RNA transcript. RefSeq lists it as uncharacterized. NCBI's taxonomy places the organism in Eukaryota, Metazoa, Arthropoda, Malacostraca, Amphipoda, Hyalellidae. The transcript is spliced from 3 exons. The record is from RefSeq and is a predicted model, not a curated record.